UUGAGCAUAUACAUUUUGGCACUUUUUACCGUUGUAGUGCCCUCAUAUGUUUCUUCUAGCCUUGUCCAUACUUCACUUGCUUUCUCAAGAUCUUUGACUUGUUCAAACACCUUUGAAUCAAUGCCAUUAUAGAUUGUAUUGAGAGCCAUAGUAUUGCAUUGCUUGUUUGCUCUCUCAUUGUCGGUGGGGUUAGCCGGAUCAAGAAUCACAAAGUCAUUUUCGGUGACUUCCCA
RNAcentral lists this long non-coding RNA (233 nucleotides) under Sorghum bicolor (sorghum). Its description in RNAcentral is "long non-coding RNA (SBIC_LNC004417)". The record is from RNAcentral. Lineage: Eukaryota; Viridiplantae; Streptophyta; Magnoliopsida; Poales; Poaceae.